GACGAACGCUGGCGGCGUGCUUAACACAUGCAAGUCGAACGGACAGGCCCUGCUUUUGUGGGGUGCUCGAGUGGCGAACGCGUGAGUAACACGUGAGUAACCUGCCCUUGACUUUCGGAUAACUUCAGGAAACUGGGGCUAAUACCGGAUAUGAGCUCCUGCUGCAUGGUGGGGGUUGGAAAGUUUCGGCGGUUGGGGCUGGACUCGCGGCUUAUCAGCUUGUUGGUGUGGUAGUGGCUUACCAAGGCUUUGACGGGUAGCCGGCCUUAGAGGGUGACCGGCCACAUUGGGACUGCGAUACGGCCCAGACUCCUACGGGAGGCAGCAGUGGGGAAUAUUGCACAAUGGGCGGAAGCCUGAUGCAGCAACGCCGCGUGCGGGAUGACGGCCUUCGGGUUGUAAACCGAUUUCGCCUGUGACGAAGCGUGAGUGACGGUAAUGGGUAAAGAAGCACCGGCUAACUACGUG
This 468-nucleotide ribosomal RNA is filed under the name uncultured bacterium. RNAcentral's name for it is "partial 16S ribosomal RNA". It matches the Rfam family "Bacterial small subunit ribosomal RNA", at positions 28 to 507 of the family's 1533-position model. The record is from RNAcentral.